UGAAGCGGCAGCCUACAGCUCUGAGCGCUGGCAACCCUCAGGGCCAGUCUUGCUUCCACACUGUCCAGCACCUCUCCCUCCUACCCACCUUGUGAGCUGGUGACUCAGUGCCAUGGUGAGCACUGACUGACGGGCAGCCAGCAUCUGCUUGAGGCCCAGGCUCACCAGGAGAUUAACCCGGCAGGCUGCAGUGAGAAGGGACAGAGACGACUCUGACAGGAGGCCCAGGAUGCAAGGGAAGGCCAAACAAAUCUACCUGCUUAAGGAAGACUCUUCCUCUGACGGCCACCUUGAGACUCUGUCCAGCAGAAAUCUCUGGCAAGUGUUAUCCCAGCCACUCAUGUGGCACUGGGCCGUCUAUGACUUCCUGAUGACAUUAUUCUACAUCAUUUUGUUCACAGUGCUGUUUGACAAUUUUGUGUGACCAUCCCCCGCACUCCGAAUAAACCUUAGCAAAGGAUGGAGUGCUUUCCGUAUGUGUCUGUCCAGACUGGCUUCUCACCGCCCUCUGUGAAGGGCCGGCCAGGCUGCUGUUCACUAAGUUUUGGACUGUAGAUAAGAAAAUAAAAAAUAAAAAUAAACGGCCAAUG
Molecule: long non-coding RNA, 590 nt
Organism: Peromyscus leucopus (white-footed mouse)
Lineage: Eukaryota; Metazoa; Chordata; Mammalia; Rodentia; Cricetidae
Exons: 2
Source: RefSeq, a predicted model, not a curated record